This is a non-coding RNA of Nelumbo nucifera (sacred lotus), 1260 nucleotides long. NCBI's taxonomy places the organism in Eukaryota, Viridiplantae, Streptophyta, Magnoliopsida, Proteales, Nelumbonaceae. The record is from RefSeq and is a predicted model, not a curated record.
UUCUUCCUUCUUCUACUACUAUUUCCAUGGCUCCUCGAUCGAUGACUCCAGCUUUGGAAACCCUAAAAAGUGAAAAUCAAGCUCAUCUGUCGUCUUGAGAUUGCUUCUGGACAUCUAAAUCGAUAUUGAAAUCUCCUAAAACCUCUUUGGUGCUCGGUUGAUGUUUGAUCUGGUACUGAAGAAAAGGGUUAAGUAGAAUAGAUCGGCUCUGAUUUACUAGCUCUAAGAGUUUGAAUCGGAUUCCUGUUCUCAGUUUCCGUCUAAAGAAGCUCUUACGGUCAUCUUCAACUGUAAAUGCUGUUAAUUUACACAUCACUACUUGGUUUUUAGUCAUGGUGAGGCGUCAUGGAUGACUACUCCCUGCUCACACUUUUCAGUUUCCAUCUAAAGAAGCUCUUACGGUCAUCUUCAACUGUAAAUGCUGUUAAUUUACACGUCACUACUUGGUUUUUAGUCAUGGUGAGGCGUCAUGGAUGGUAGCUCCCUGCUCACACGUUUCUGGUUUCAACAGUGGCUAUGGAAACUUAGCACGUCCAUUCUUCAAUACAUGCCUUGAAAUUGCUAGCAAUUGCAAAAUUAUUCACCAUCACUUUCCGAUCAGUUCCAUUCUUCAACAUCAAAGAAAAUAAAUCCAACGCUUCCAAGUUCACGCCUUCCUAUGAAUAUGCCGCAAUCAUAGUGUUCCACGAGACAACAUCCUUGUUGGGCAUCUCAUUGAAUAUCUGACGUGCUUGUUCAAUAUAAUCACACUUGGAAUACAUGGUGAUCAAGCCAUUGGCAACAAAAUUUUGUCUAAAGAAUCCUCUCUUUAAAAUCAAAGAGUGCAAGCUCGUCCCUGUAUCAACACACCUCAGUUUGUAGGAGACCCUAAUUAUGACAGUAAGUGUAGUCUCAUUGGACUCAACACCAGUUCUCCCCAUGUGUAGAAAGUAAGAUAGUGCCCGAUCAUUGAACCCUUAUGUGCACUCAUUGAUAUCAUUGAGGUCCAGGAAAACACAUUAUUCCCAAUAUUCGCAAGCAUUCCUCCAAAUGGGUGACCUGUUUGAGAAAACUAAACUAACUUAUGUAUAGAGAGAGGUAACUCUUUUAGAAAAAUUGAAUCUUUUUGAUGCAUUCGUUGUAGGUAAAUAAACCAAACUUUCUUUUUUUUUUAUAUUUGAACUUAUAUGCUUCAGCAUCAAAGUAGAACCUAGGAUCUACAAUUAACUAGUAAGUUUUGGUCAUGUUUGGGAGUGCUUAUUGAACAAGUGCUCAUUUGAA